RNAcentral lists this ribosomal RNA (500 nucleotides) under uncultured bacterium. RNAcentral describes it as "partial 16S ribosomal RNA". It matches the Rfam family "Bacterial small subunit ribosomal RNA", at positions 30 to 523 of the family's 1533-position model. The record is from RNAcentral.
AUUGAACGCUGGCGGCAUGCCUUACACAUGCAAGUCGAACGGCAGCACGGGAGCAAUCCUGGUGGCGAGUGGCGAACGGGUGAGUAAUAUAUCGGAACGUGCCCAGUCGUGGGGGAUAACGCAGCGAAAGCUGUGCUAAUACCGCAUACGAUCUAAGGAUGAAAGCGGGGGAUCGCAAGACCUCGCGCGAUUGGAGCGGCCGAUAUCAGAUUAGCUAGUUGGUGGGGUAAAGGCCCACCAAGGCGACGAUCUGUAGCUGGUCUGAGAGGACGACCAGCCACACUGGAACUGAGACACGGUCCAGACUCCUACGGGAGGCAGCAGUGGGGAAUUUUGGACAAUGGGUGCAAGCCUGAUCCAGCAAUGCCGCGUGCAGGAUGAAGGCCUUCGGGUUGUAAACUGCUUUUGUACGGAACGAAACGGCCCUUUCUAAUACAGGGGGCUAAUGACGGUACCGUAAGAAUAAGCACCGGCUAACUACGUGCCAGCAGCCGCGGUAA